GAGACAUCUGUCAAUCAACUUAUACAGGGAAGAACCAGCCGAAGAACAGCAGAGUCGCGGUAGAAAGUUCGGCGAUGGUAUUAAAGUAGCUCAGUAUAAAUGUUU
Molecule: long non-coding RNA, 105 nt
Organism: Sinocyclocheilus anshuiensis
Lineage: Eukaryota; Metazoa; Chordata; Actinopteri; Cypriniformes; Cyprinidae
Exons: 3
Source: RefSeq, a predicted model, not a curated record